RNAcentral lists this ribosomal RNA (301 nucleotides) under uncultured bacterium. RNAcentral's name for it is "partial 16S ribosomal RNA". It matches the Rfam family "Bacterial small subunit ribosomal RNA", at positions 509 to 808 of the family's 1533-position model. The record is from RNAcentral.
CAGCAGCCACGGUAAUACGUAGGGGGCAAGCGUUGUCCGGAAUUAUUGGGCGUAAAGCGCGCGCAGGCGGUCAUGUAAGUCUGGUGUUUAAUCCCGGGGCUCAACCCCGGAUCGCACUGGAAACUGGGUGACUUGAGUGCAGAAGAGGAGAGUGGAAUUCCACGUGUAGCGGUGAAAUGCGUAGAGAUGUGGAGGAACACCAGUGGCGAAGGCGACUCUCUGGGCUGUAACUGACGCUGAGGCGCGAAAGCGUGGGGAGCAAACAGGAUUAGAUACCCCUGUAGUCCCUGUCUCUUAUACC